UGCAAGUCGAACGAUGAAUCUUCUAGCUUGCUAGAAGUGGAUUAGUGGCGCACGGGUGAGUAAUGCAUAGGUUAUGUGCCCUUUAGUCUGGGAUAGCCACUGGAAACGGUGAUUAAUACUGGAUACUCCCUACGGGGGAAAGUUUUUCGCUAAAGGAUCAGCCUAUGUCCUAUCAGCUUGUUGGUGAGGUAAUGGCUCACCAAGGCUAUGACGGGUAUCCGGCCUGAGAGGGUGAUCGGACACACUGGAACUGAGACACGGUCCAGACUCCUACGGGAGGCAGCAGUAGGGAAUAUUGCUCAAUGGGGGAAACCCUGAAGCAGCAACGC
RNAcentral lists this ribosomal RNA (329 nucleotides) under uncultured bacterium. RNAcentral's name for it is "bacterial SSU rRNA". It matches the Rfam family "Bacterial small subunit ribosomal RNA", at positions 56 to 397 of the family's 1533-position model. The record is from RNAcentral.